Tachysurus fulvidraco (yellow catfish) is the source of this 2327-nucleotide long non-coding RNA. RefSeq lists it as uncharacterized. The record is from RefSeq and is a predicted model, not a curated record. NCBI's taxonomy places the organism in Eukaryota, Metazoa, Chordata, Actinopteri, Siluriformes, Bagridae. The transcript is spliced from 4 exons.
GCCCAGCAGGUUAGUUCAUUUCUUUCUGAUUGGCCCUUGUCCUUCUUAUUCCCGCCUCUGCAGGUAUACUGAGAAUUAUGAUUGGAUGAAGGGGUGGAGUUUAGAGCUGCAGAUCGGUGUGAGAGUUUAGUUAACGAUGUGACUGGGAGGAAUUCAUGGACCAGUUGGGACUUACCUCGGACGGGCUUUGGAGUAUCGUUGCUAUGGCGAUAAAGGAUCGGUUCGGUAGAGGAGGGACUACAGAAAGAUCUACAGCUUCAGAGGAGGGAAUUUGGUGUUCCAGCCGCCUGGGAAGCCGUUCAGCCGACCAGAGUCCGCUCUUCCAGAACCAGAACCCAUGCAGGUGGAUCCUACUGGUGUCUCACUGUCAGAGCGUCAUGGAAGACUUACUCUAGGAUCGUGUCUAUACUGUGGAGCAUCGGGGCAUACCAUCAUCUCAUGCCCCAUUCGCCCACCACCACCACCACACCUGUCUCAGCCCUCCUCCAUUCAGGAUUAACUAAUUAAACCACAUAAGUCCGUCCCACACCACUGUAUUAUUAGAUAAAGUGCUGUGAUCUUAUAUGAUAAAACAUUUACUAAGGUGUUAAUACGAUCAAUUCUGUUAUGUUUACAAUGUUAACAAACUUAUUGAUGCUGUACCUGUUCCAUCCUCCACAUUUUGCUCACCUAGUUUGUCUGGCACAUCCUUCUCUACCUUUUCACACAAAUGGACACUGAGCUGCUCACUAGGGAGGAAUCACGUAUGAAAGUUACCACUUACUUACUUGUUCCCCUCCCUACAAGCUUGUUUAAAUCCUGUUUGUAUUCAUUGUGCCCUGCUGUUCUCAGUAUUGUAAAUGAUUCCCUGCAUACUGGUGUUGUGCCAGCAGCAUUGACUGGUGACUGGUUUUGUCUGUACGGGUGUUCCUCAGGGUUCCAUCUUAGGCCCCUUACUUUUUAGCAUGUACAUAUUUCUACUUGGAUUGCUUUAAAGAUCACUUGGGCUUAAUUAGCACUUUUAUGCAGACCACAACCAUUUUUAACACGCUGUAUUGCUGAGAUAAAAAUGUGGGUGUCUCAAAAUUGUUUGUGCCUCAACGCUGAUAAGACAGAGCUUGUCUUGCUUAUUGGUCGUCCCUCACCAGCUUCACAAAGCUGGUUCACUGUUUCUAAACGUAGACGGCUCUGUUCUGGAAGUACAAACCCAAUGAAAAAAUCUAGUAGUAAUCUUGGAUUCAAGUUUGUCUUUUGACCCUCACGUUCGGCACAUUGUAAAGAACUCAUUAUUUCAUCUCAGAAAUAUUGCUAGACUUCACCCUAUGUUAUCUCACUCAGUGACUGAAAGGCUUAUUAAGACUUUUGUGUUCUCCCGCUGUGACUAAAUCCACACUUAAUAAACUGCAAUGUGUGCAAAAUUCAGCUGCUAGGAUCCUGACUGGGGUCAGGCAAAAUGAGCACAUUACACCAAUUCUCAAGUCCUUGCUGAUAAAAAUAAAACUAAUAGAAAAUAUAUAAAUUACAUAGAAAUUUCUAUACUUCUGCACAAAUAAAGACGGACUUACUUUAUCUGGCUGUUGCACUUGCUGAUGCAUCGCUGCCGGCUGUGCCGCAUCCACCGCCUGCUUCACCGCAUUGGGAAGCAACUCCUCGAGUGCUCCCCUUACCGUUUCCCGGCAGUUGCAGACGGGUGGAAGCGGCUGCCCAGUUUGGUCGGAGACCACCCUUCUACGCCGAACCGGACUAAUUGGGCGAGGGGAUGUCAUUGUGAACUGUAAGAGAAUGAGUAACACCCACCUAGCGGCUGCUCUAUUUAUAAGCUGACAUUAUAAUUACGCACAAAUUAAACGUGUGUUAUUGGUCAUUUCCCUCUUCCUCCUGCUCCUCCUACACACUCAUUGGCUAAAAUCUUUGUGACAGAAGAACCGAUCUGAAACACGCCGUAGAAUUCCAGCCUCAGUCCGUCAUUCUGUUCUACACCACAUAAUUAUUAUUAUUAUUAAAUAAUAAUGAAUGAAGACAUGAGACACAGAAGACAUGUUUGUGUUCUGUUUAUUUUAAUAGUUUUAAUAGUUAAAUUGUUCAUUGUUGCACACGGAAAAUCUGCCAAAUCAAAAAGGACAAAGAAAUAAUUGACCUUGAAAAAGUCUGAAGCUUAUUUAAAGACUGGAACACAACUGACUGGAACACAUUGUCAUCUGUCCUUUUUGUGUUGGUAAAUCUGACAAACAUGUCUUCUGUGUCUCAUGUCUUCAUUUAUGUCUGUGUUGGUACCUGAAUCUGUAGCUGUUUACUGCUCCACAUAUUCAUAUUUGUAUCUGUAUGUAUAAAGUCUGAUUUAAACCAUG